This 356-nucleotide ribosomal RNA is filed under the name uncultured bacterium. RNAcentral's name for it is "partial 16S ribosomal RNA". It matches the Rfam family "Bacterial small subunit ribosomal RNA", at positions 338 to 686 of the family's 1533-position model. The record is from RNAcentral.
CCUACGGGUGGCAGCAGUGGGGAAUAUUGCGCAAUGGGCGAAAGCCUGACGCAGCGACGCCGCGUGAGGGAUGAAGGUCUUCGGAUCGUAAACCUCUGUCAGCAGGGAAGAACGGUCACUGUGCUAAUCAGCAGUGAAUUGACGGUACCUGCAAAGGAAGCACCGGCUAACUCCGUGCCAGCAGCCGCGGGAAUUCGGAGGGUGCGAGCGUUAAUCGGAAUUACUGGGCGUAAAGCGGUCGGAGGGUGUAUGUUGAGUCAAGGGGGAAAUCCCCGCGCUCAACGUGGGAAAUGCCUUUGAAACUUGCGAAGUGAGGUGUGUGGGAGGAUAGGGGGAAUCCAGGGUGUGGAGUGGAA